GCUCACUACAGUGGUACCUCCUCACUGGAAGGACAGAUCCUGAAGCUGAGGCUCCAAUACUUUGGCCACCUCGUGAGAAGAGAUGACUCCCUGGAAAAGACUCUGAUGUUGGGAAAGAUUGAGGGCACAAGGAGAAGGGGCUGACAGAGGACGAGAUGGUUGGACAGUGUUCUUGAGGCUACCAACAUGAGUUUGACAAAACUGCGGGAGGCAGUGGAAGACAGGAGUGCCUGGCGUGCUCUGGUCCAUGGAGUCACGAAGAGUCAGACACAACUAAAUGACUAAACAACAACAGUGGUACGUUGGUUCUCAAAUGCCUUGGUACUCAAACACCGAAAACUCAGAAGUAAGUGUUCCAGUUUUCAAUUCUUUUUCAGAAGCUGAACGUCCAAUACUGCUGUCGGCUAUUGUUUCCGGGGCGCCUGCUGUGGGAUGUGAAACACAGAGCAGUCAAGUACAACAUCCCUAGAGUGGACAUAAAAAGGGGGUGUCUGGACCAGCCAGUCAGAACUUCCUGUUUCCUCCUAGACUGGGACAGACUUCCUCUACAUGUGACCAGAGGUGGGCGUGGCCUCACCUGUGCAGGUAACAAAAGCAUAGGACUGGCCGCCAUCUCUGUCUCUCUGACUACAUUCAUCAAAGAAGCAACAUCUGCUUAGCCUAAGAUGCUCUCUUGGCUUCCAGCCAAGAGAGGACAAAGGAGCUGUCUCCUUAUUGGAUAGUUUCCAGGUAUAUUACUUUUGUAACUUAAGUCUGCCUUCUGGGAUCCAUCUGUGAAAAGAAUGAGUGAGUGAGUAAACUCUUUUUAUACUUUUAUAGAAGACUGUGUUGUAUCUAUUCCUUUUAUGAGGGACUAAAGGGGAAUUUACCAAGUAACUUAUUUUAGAGGCUUUAGCGAGCCUGAGCAAAAACAUCUGGUGUGCAAGUUUAUAAAGGGGAAUGUUACUCUGCUAAAUUGGAAAGGAUAUAAUCAAACAAUAUAUACUCUCCUGCAUCCCUGAACAUUCCCACACCUGCACCAAUCAGAAGCUGCCUUUUGGUUUUCAAACAUUUCGGAAGUAAAUCCGACUUCCGGUGCGGAUUAAGUUUGGCGCUUUUGUUUUUGCUAUUUAUUUUGCGUUUUUGUUUUUGAGGCAUUUUCAGUUAAUUUGUUUUUGUGACUGUGUGGAACCCAGUUCAGCUACCAACUGAUUGUCUGAGUGACUGCGGAAAUAGAUAAAAGACCCCCAUCCAAACAAUGACUAUUGUAGUCAUUUAUGUAGGGGAGAGAUCUCUGGGUGUGAACACGCAAAUGAGGGACAAUGGGGUCAGAUGCGAACAAAAUGUAAGACAAAUAAUAAGUUCCUUCCUGUGCAUAUCUUAGAGUAGGUAAGAGUUGUGUAUUUUGGAAGCUAGGUGCACCUUAACUUGGCAUAUGCUUAAAGCCCUUCCAGAGCAACGUUGUAAGGAACAAUCCUCUCUUUCUAUUUUGUAUGUUCCAAAUUCACACAAAUGGAAUUUCGGGACCCCGGGGGCAAAAGGAAAUAGAGCUGCCAAAAAAGCACAUCAACAAAUUGGUGCUUGCCCGAAGUGAAGGGUAUGAGGAGAAGAAAAGCUCCGAGACUGUGACAGUGAUCUCAUAGCUGAUAAAUCACUUCUCCUUGUCAGUACAAAGGUAAAGGCAUCCUGAUUGACGUUUAUAAUCCCCCAGCAAUCCUCUCCAGUUCCUGCUUCAAAACUUCCUUAAUGGCUUCAGCUGCAGCUCGGGCAAUGUUGAAUGGGAAAGCUCCAGCACUCAAUCCAUAGAACACGUUGCACUAAUAAAAAUGUUCUUAACCUGCUUUCCCCCACUUGUCAGAAUUUGACAUUUUAAUACAGAUUCUGAGAAAGAGAGAGAGAACGAACCAGACCCAAAUCAAAGGGUGCUUCCAGAGAGUCACUAUGUUUUGCUGGAGGGAUUCAUGUGCAUACCAGAAACUUAUUUUUGUGCUUUUAAAGUGGAUUAACGUCCUUUAUUGCCCUAGAGCAACAAACCCACUUUUUCUUAAAAAAAAAACAAAAACAAAACCUAGACUUUGUGGGAGUUAAGAAAGUGAUGGGAAAAUGCACUGAAAACUGUGGGAUGAAUGAAUGAGGGGAAAGAAGACAUGAAAACACCCAGCAGGGAAAUACAGAUGACUGCCCAUUAUUGUGCAGCUGCCCCAUAAUAAAAUCAGAAUGAUUUGUGCAAACAAAUUG
Molecule: long non-coding RNA, 2217 nt
Filed under: Podarcis lilfordi (Lilford's wall lizard)
Lineage: Eukaryota; Metazoa; Chordata; Lepidosauria; Squamata; Lacertidae
Source: RNAcentral